CUCGGCGCCCCGCGCUGGCGGUGCUUUCUGGAUUAAUCCUGAACAAGAAGUGGAAUUACUGAAUGAAAGCCCAGGAAGCGAUAUGACAUCCUUCAGUCCGGAAGUCCUUCUGACAUGGCGGUAUUCCGGAGAAGUGGCACCAAGUUCUUCCAGUCUGAGUAAGAGCCGACGUCCCGCUUCGCUCACUGGUACUGGAUCUUGCCCCAGAACCGUUGCAUU
This is a long non-coding RNA of Nothoprocta perdicaria, 219 nucleotides long. RefSeq lists it as uncharacterized. The transcript is spliced from 3 exons. The record is from RefSeq and is a predicted model, not a curated record. Lineage: Eukaryota; Metazoa; Chordata; Aves; Tinamiformes; Tinamidae.